UCGAGAAUCUUCGGCAAUGGGCGCCAGCCUGACCGAGCGACGCCGCGUGGGGGACGAAGGCCCUCGGGUUGUAAACCCCUGUCGGGGGGAGGCCGAUCCCCGGCGGAAGCACGGGCUAAGUUCGUGCCAGCAGCCGCGGUAAGACGAACCGUGCGAACGUUAUUCGGAAUGACUGGGCUUAAAGCGCGUGUAGGCGGGCCGGCACGUCGAGCGUGAAAUCCCCCGGCUCAACCGGGGAAGUGGCCUCGAUACGACCGGCCUGGAGGGGGGUAGGGGGAGCCGGAACUCACGGUGGAGCGGUGAAAUGCGUUGAGAUCGUGAGGAACGCCCGUGGCGAAAGCGGGCUCCUGGACCUUGCCUGACGCUGAGACGCGAAAGCCA
RNAcentral lists this ribosomal RNA (381 nucleotides) under uncultured bacterium. RNAcentral describes it as "bacterial SSU rRNA". It matches the Rfam family "Bacterial small subunit ribosomal RNA", at positions 355 to 762 of the family's 1533-position model. The record is from RNAcentral.